Molecule: ribosomal RNA, 445 nt
Filed under: uncultured bacterium
Lineage: Bacteria
Description: partial 16S ribosomal RNA
Rfam family: Bacterial small subunit ribosomal RNA
Source: RNAcentral
GUGAGGAAUAUUGGUCAAUGGACGAGAGUCUGAACCAGCCAAGUCGCGUGAAGGAAGACGGUUCUAUGAAUUGUAAACUUCUUUUGUGCAGGAAUAAAGUGGGUUACGUGUAACCUUUUGUAUGUACUGUACGAAUAAGGAUCGGCUAACUCCGUGCCAGCAGCCGCGGUAAUACGGAGGAUCCGAGCGUUAUCCGGAUUUAUUGGGUUUAAAGGGUGCGCAGGCGGGUUGAUAAGUCAGCGGUGAAAGUUUGCAGCUUAACUGUAAAAUUGCCGUUGAAACUGUCGAUCUUGAGUGCAAAUGAGGUAAGCGGAAUGUGUUGUGUAGCGGUGAAAUGCUUAGAUAUAACACAGAACACCGAUUGCGAAGGCAGCUUACUGGGAUGCAACUGACGCUCAUGCACGAAAGCGUGGGGAUCAAACAGGAUUAGAUACCCGGGUAGUCC